Molecule: ribosomal RNA, 447 nt
Filed under: uncultured bacterium
Lineage: Bacteria
Description: partial 16S ribosomal RNA
Rfam family: Bacterial small subunit ribosomal RNA
Source: RNAcentral
AACGAACGCUGGCGGCAGGCUUAACACAUGCAAGUCGAGCGCCCCGCAAGGGGAGCGGCAGACGGGUGAGUAACACGUGGGAAUCUACCCAUCCCUGCGGAACAACUCCGGGAAACUGGAGCUAAUACCGCAUACGCCCUACGGGGGAAAGAUUUAUCGGGGAUGGAUGAGCCCGCGUUGGAUUAGCUAGUUGGUGGGGUAAAGGCCUACCAAGGCGACGAUCCAUAGCUGGUCUGAGAGGAUGAUCAGCCACAUUGGGACUGAGACACGGCCCAGACUCCUACGGGAGGCAGCAGUGGGGAAUAUUGGACAAUGGGCGCAAGCCUGAUCCAGCCAUGCCGCGUGAGUGAUGAAGGCCUUAGGGUUGUAAAGCUCUUUCACCGAUGAAGAUAAUGACGGUAGUCGGAGAAGAAGCCCCGGCUAACUUCGUGCCAGCCGCCGCAGUAA